CAGUUGUACUGGUCGCCGGCCCGCCCACCGAAGAUCGGUUGUCCCGGAGAGGAACGCACAAGAUCCCCUAGUCACGCUUGUGGCUGGCGGAUGGGAUCCGGUGGGUGGACGCCGAACGGAGAUCCUCAGGGUAAGACCCAGAGUCUUGUCUCACCUUCUUGCUCACUCGAGGGUCCCAGAGCCACCCAGUAUGUCAAACGAACCAAAUGCUCCGGGGACUUCACCCCGGACUCCUCGUCCUGGGACCCAGAAGUCAUCUGGUGCAGUGACCAAGAAGGGGGAUCGCGGUGCGAAGGAGAAGACAGCAACUGCCCUGCCGCCUGUGGGCGAGGAGGAGCCCAAAAAUCCUGAGGAGUACCAGUGCACAGGGAUCCUGGAGAUUGACUUCACUGAGCUCUGCACCCGCUCAGGCUACAGGGACUUCCCUAAAGUUGUCACUCGGCCCCGGCCGACCUUUGUCCCUUCAGCCUCCAUGUCAGAAAAACCCACCCAAGAUGACCAGCAGCUGUCGGCAUCCUGCAGCCUCAACAGCCUAGAGAGCAAAUACUCGUUCUACCGGCCCACCAUCCAGGUGGAGCUGGAGCAGGAGGACAAGGCAGUGAAGGAGAUCUAUAUCCGUGGUUGGAAGGUUGAGGAUCGGAUUCUGGGUAUCUUCUCCAAAUGCCUGCCUUCCCUCAGCCAGCUGCAGGCCAUCAACUUGUGGAAUGUGGGGCUGACGGAUGAGACCCUGACCACUUUCAUCACCCUCUUGCCUCUCUGCUCAUCCACACUCAGGAAGGUGUCUCUGGAGGGGAAUCCUCUUCCGGAGCAGUCCUAUCAUAAGCUCGUGGCGUUGGAGAGCACGAUCUUUCACUUGUCUUUGAGGAACAACAAUAUUGACGACCGUGGGGCGCAGCUCCUAGGCCAGGCACUGUCCACGUUGCACAGCUGCAACCGGACCCUCGUUUCGCUGAACCUGGCAUUCAACCACAUCGGGGAUCAAGGCGCGGGUUACAUCGCGGAUGGCCUGCGGCUUAACCGUUCCCUUCUCUGGCUGUCCCUGUCGCACAACCGCAUUCAGGACAAGGGCGCAUUGAAGCUGGCUGAGGUUCUGCGCCCCUUCGAGCUGACUCACACGGAGGUGGUGGAGCGUAGACGCCUCCUGCUGGUGAAAGGGUCACAGGAGCGGUUGCAUUCGCCCUCUACCUCCCGACACGUGGACUCCAAAAUGGACCGUGAGAAGUCUCAGAUGGUGGGGAUCAGCAGUGUCGCAUCGGUGGACAAGCAAGAAAAGAUGCAGACAAUGAAAACCCCUAAGGGCCUGAGCAAGAAAAAGAAGCCAGGGGAAGUGAUAAAGAAGGAGGAGAAGUCAGGAUCUGGGCAGUCGCCCACACAAGGAACCCCUAAGAAAGAAGAUACCACAAAGUUCAGCAAGGGGAAGGCGACCAUCCCUGAGCAGAAGAUGAGUAAGGUAAAAGGGAUGAAGAUCGGGAGCAAAGAGAAGCACAGCAGCCUCUUGGAGUCAGAGGAGUGGCCCCAAUUUGGAUCUGCUGUCCAACUGAGGCUGUGUCCUUGGAGGCCAGCAGCUCAUCACUAGCCCCUCCAGCAUCAGCCUGAUAGUUGCCGAAACAAAGCUUCCUUCUGCCCCUCAAAGCACUCUGAGUCAUGGUACUGCACCAAGCAAGGCUUCAGAUCCUCCCCCACUUUUCCUUGUGACUCAACCUGCUCCUUAGGAAACCAUCCUGGAACAACUUCUAGUUCUAAUUCCCCCAGUCCUCCAUCCUGUCACCUGCCUGGUCUCUGUCCUGUCCGUUGGAAAACCCACACAACCCUGUCACAUUCUCCUAGCAGGGAAGGGGCCCUGUUCUUUUAGGAGUCUUUCCUGGCACCCUACACAAACUGACAGAAGAGCAAGUCAGACAGAAGCAGGGUCGUUUUCAAUUCCUGCCUUAGUCUUCACCUCUGUCUUGAGCAUGCUGCUACUUCUCACAGGGCCAUUAAUUAGUUCCUCAUUGUCUUCAGUCUGCUCCCCUCGUGGAAGAGUUAGGAAUCCCUAUUAAAGCCCUAGUACUGGUGCUGACUCCUGGCUCAAGAGCCUUUGCACUUGCUGUGUUCUUUACUUGGAACACUUUUCCUCAUCCUCUGAACUUCAGUUCCCAGACUGCCUCUUUCAAGACUGGGCUAGAUGUACACCCCAGCACCCCGCCCCAGGGAGCACUCCCAUAGUACUGUUUUCAGGGGCCAUGCCACACCACAUUCCUGUUUUAUUGUCUGGCUCCCCAACACCGGGAAACUUGAGGGUAUGGGCUGAUUUGUUUUUGUGCCCCCACCACCUAGGAUAGACUCGAUUAUAGCUGGCACUCAAAACCUGUAUGUUGAAUGAAUGAGCCUGUUGACCAGCUCCCCUCUUCUCUGCUGCAAUUAUGUUUUGCUUUAGUAGCUGGUUGGUGAAGCUACAGAGAUGGUUAACCCGCUCCUGGAGCCCGUGGAGCACCAUGAUGGGAAGGUUUUCAUGCCUGGGAACAAGGUCCUUUUGCACCUCAACCUCUUCAGAAACCGCAUCACAGAGGUGGGGCUGGACGGCUU
Molecule: RNA transcript, 2565 nt
Organism: Nannospalax galili (Upper Galilee mountains blind mole rat)
Lineage: Eukaryota; Metazoa; Chordata; Mammalia; Rodentia; Spalacidae
Gene: Lrrc71
Gene name: leucine rich repeat containing 71
Exons: 14
Source: RefSeq, a predicted model, not a curated record